UGGGGAAUAUUGGACAAUGGGCGCAAGCCUGAUCCAGCAAUGCCGCGUGCAGGACGACGGCUUUCGGGUUGUAAACUGCUUUUGUGUGGGACGAUAACGACGGUACCACGCGAAUAAGCCCCGGCUAACUCUGUGCCAGCAGCCGCGGUAAUACAGAGGGGGCAAGCGUUGUCCGGACUUACUGGGCGUAAAGCGCACGCAGAUGGUAGCGCAAGUGGGGUGUGAAAGCCGCCAGCUUAACUGGCGGAGGCCAUCCCAAACUGCGUCACUUGAGGCCUGUAGAGGUAUGUGGAAUUGCCGGUGUAGUGGUGAAAUGCGUAGAGAUCGGCAGGAACACCCAGGGGGAAACCAGCAUACUGGACAGGUCCUGACACUCAGGUGCGAUAGCGUGGGGAGCGAACCGGAUUAGAUACCCCUGUAGUCC
This 424-nucleotide ribosomal RNA is filed under the name uncultured prokaryote. Its description in RNAcentral is "bacterial SSU rRNA". It matches the Rfam family "Bacterial small subunit ribosomal RNA", at positions 355 to 796 of the family's 1533-position model. The record is from RNAcentral.